RNAcentral lists this small RNA (1138 nucleotides) under Pongo abelii (Sumatran orangutan). RNAcentral's name for it is "retained intron". Lineage: Eukaryota; Metazoa; Chordata; Mammalia; Primates; Hominidae. The record is from RNAcentral.
GAGUAAAGCCGCCGCCCGGGAGAAGACUGAAGGAGCAGUUGCCGCCGUUGGCGGCGGCCCGAGCAGUUUUCGCUGCUGCUACGGCUGUUGCCAUGAGGCGAGGCUAGGGAGGACCUCACUUCCCCGGAGUGUAAUAAUGUUAACUGAGUUAUAUUGGGAGCUAGUUUCAAGAUGAAAUAUUAAUUCUAAGCCAGUCUAUCCAUAUGGGGAUGGGGAAGCCUUGGCAUUGUCCUUUUUCUGAUAACCUUUGGACCCUUUGUAAUAUUUUAUUUGACAUUUUAUAUCCUCUGCUUUGUGGGUGGGGGUUUAGUGGUUACUCUCCUGUUUGGAAAAACAAACUCAGAGAAGUACCUAGAACAGUGUGAACACUCAUUUCUUCCUCCGACAUCAACUGGGGUUCCUAAGUGCUUAGAAGAAAUGAAACGGGAAGCUAGGACUAUUAAGAUUGAUAGAAGAUUGACGGGCGCCAAUAUAAUUGAUGAACCUCUCCAGCAAGUUAUCCAGUUUUCCUUGAGGGAUUAUGUCCAGUAUUGGUAUUAUACACUAAGUGAUGAUGAAUCUUUUCUUCUUGAAAUUAGGCAGACUCUUCAAAAUGCACUCAUUCAGUUUGCUACUAGGUCAAAAGAAAUAGACUGGCAACCUUAUUUUACUACACGCAUUGUAGAUGAUUUUGGCACACACUUACGAGUAUUCAGAAAGGCUCAACAGAAAAUAACAGAGAAAGAUGAUCAAGUAAAAGGUACAGCAGAAGAUCUUGUAGAUACCUUCUUUGAAGUUGAAGUUGAAAUGGAGAAGGAGAUUUGCCGUGAUCUAGUGUGCACUUCCCCCAAAGAUGAAGAAGGAUUCCUAAGGGAUUUGUGUGAGGUCUUACUAUAUUUAUUGCUACCUCCUGGAGAUUUCCAGAACAAGAUCAUGCGAUACUUUGUCAGGGAAAUCCUUGCACGAGGAAUUCUUCUUCCAUUAAUAAAUCAACUCAGUGAUCCUGAUUAUAUUAAUCAGUAUGUCAUAUGGAUGGUAGGUGCCUUUUAAAAUUACAACUCUGUUUUAGAAAUAAUUUUUUAAAUGUAAAAAUACAGUUGGGAGAUAGGGUGUUUAAGCAGUAAUUUAUUAAAGAAAUUAAGUAAAGUGUUUCUGAAGU